RNAcentral lists this ribosomal RNA (296 nucleotides) under uncultured bacterium. RNAcentral's name for it is "partial 16S ribosomal RNA". It matches the Rfam family "Bacterial small subunit ribosomal RNA", at positions 28 to 316 of the family's 1533-position model. The record is from RNAcentral.
GACGAACGCUGGCGGCGUGCUUAAUACAUGCAAGUCAACUGAACUUUAGGUAGCAAUAUUUAAAGGGAGGUGGCGCACGGGUGAGUAACACGUAGGUAAUCUGCCCUCAGGACUGACAUAAUUCCGCGAAAGCGGGACUAAAAUCAGAUGAUGCAGCGGCUCGGCAUCGAGACAGUUGUUAAACCUUCGGGGCCUGGAGAUGAGCCUGCGUCUGAUUAGGUAGUUGGUCGGGGUAAAAGGACCCACCCAAGCCUGCGAUCAGUAGCUGGUCUGAGAGGAGUGAUCAGCCACACUGG